UGCCAGCCGCCGCGGUAAGACGAACCGUCCAAACGUUAUUCGGUAUCACUGGGCUUAAAGCGUGCGUAGGCGGCUUGGUAGGUGAGAUGUGAAAGCCCACGGCUCAACCGUGGAAUUGCGUUUCAAACCCCCAAGCUCGAGGAAGAUAGGGGUGAUGGGGACUUAUGGUGGAGCGGUGAAAUGCGUUGAUAUCAUAGGGAACACCGGUGGCGAAAGCGCAUCACUGGAUCUUAACUGACGCUGAGGCACGAAAGCCAGGGGAGCAAACAGGAUUAGAUA
Molecule: ribosomal RNA, 279 nt
Filed under: uncultured bacterium
Lineage: Bacteria
Description: partial 16S ribosomal RNA
Rfam family: Bacterial small subunit ribosomal RNA
Source: RNAcentral